RNAcentral lists this ribosomal RNA (501 nucleotides) under uncultured bacterium. RNAcentral describes it as "partial 16S ribosomal RNA". It matches the Rfam family "Bacterial small subunit ribosomal RNA", at positions 30 to 523 of the family's 1533-position model. The record is from RNAcentral.
AUUGAACGCUGGCGGCAGGCUUAACACAUGCAAGUCGAGCGGGGGAAGGUAGCUUGCUACUGGACCUAGCGGCGGACGGGUGAGUAAUGCUUAGGAAUCUGCCUAUUAGUGGGGGACAACAUCUCGAAAGGGAUGCUAAUACCGCAUACGUCCUACGGGAGAAAGCAGGGGAUCUUCGGAACUUGCGCUAAUAGAUGAGCCUAAGUCGGAUUAGCUAGUUGGUGGGGUAAAGGCCUACCAAGGCGACGAUCUGUAGCGGGUCUGAGAGGAUGAUCGGCCACACUGGGACUGAGACACGGCCCAGACUCCUACGGGAGGCAGCAGUGGGGAAUAUUGGACAAUGGGGGGAACCCUGAUCCAGCCAUGCCGCGUGUGUGAAGAAGGCCUUAUGGUUGUAAAGCACUUUAAGCGAGGAGGAGGCUACUUUAGUUAAUACCUAGAGAUAGUGGACGUUACUCGCAGAAUAAGCACCGGCUAACUCUGUGCCAGCCGCCGCAGUAA